GCCUGCACCCAGGUGAAAUAAACAGCCUUGUUGCUCACACAAAGCCUGUUUGGUGUUCUCUUCACGCGGAUGUGACAGACAUCUGGUGCCGAAGACCCGGGUCAGAGGGACUCCUUCAGGAGACCAGUCCCCUGUCCUCACCCUCACUCCAUGAAGAGAUCCACCUAUGUAUGACCCUGGGUCCUCAGACCAACCAGCCCAAGGAACAUCUCACCAAUUUCAAAUUGGAUCUUCUCGGCUCAGUGGCUGAAGACUGACGUUGCCUGAUCACCUCGGAAGCCUCCUGGACCAUCACAGACGCUUUGGGUAACUCUUACAGUGGAGGGAUACAAUUGAAGACACUGGUUAUUUUACCAAGGCUUUGAUUGGAAUGGCUUACUUUCAGAUAUAAAUCAACUGCUUUAAGGAAUCAAAGUUGACUUACAGAGUCAUAAAAGCCCCUUGGGAAAGCUGGCCUCAUGCCUUUCCACACAGUUCCUGUACAGUUUCCUGACGUGUGUUAUGCUGUGCUUUCUUAAAACCCUGUGAACUGAAGCUACACAACUUAAACUUCAGAAGAAAAUAACAGCAACCUAUAUGCCAGCCUACUGAUGUAUGAACUUCAGAGAAAAAUGGCUCUAUCUUUUCAUUUGUUUGUUGUUUUCUUUCUUUCUGUCCCUAUUUUCUGUUUGUAGAACAUGAUACUUUACAACCUGCUAAAAAUGAGCUUUUCUAAUAAUGUGAGACCUACCUGUCUAGAAUAGAUCAUCCUAGCUAUAAGUGAUCAGAAAAACCUGAGACUGGAGACUCAUUUUCUUCUAAAAUGCUCUUUCUGAAAGAUUUUAAAAAGAAACAGAAAAAAUGUGAAAGGAAAAUAAA
RNAcentral lists this long non-coding RNA (858 nucleotides) under Homo sapiens (human). RNAcentral describes it as "HSALNT0351771". The record is from RNAcentral. Lineage: Eukaryota; Metazoa; Chordata; Mammalia; Primates; Hominidae.